UACGAAGGGGGCUAGCGUUGCUCGGAAUUACUGGGCGUAAAGCGCACGUAGGCGGCUUCUUAAGUCGGUGGUGAAAUCCUGGAGCUCAACUCCAGAACUGCCUUCGAUACUGGGAAGCUCGAGUCCGGGAGAGGUGAGUGGAACUGCGAGUGUAGAGGUGAAAUUCGUAGAUAUUCGCAAGAACACCGGUGGCGAAGGCGGUUAGCUGGGCAGUUGCUGACACUGAGGCGCGACAGCGUGGGGAGCAAACAGG
Molecule: ribosomal RNA, 253 nt
Filed under: uncultured bacterium
Lineage: Bacteria
Description: partial 16S ribosomal RNA
Rfam family: Bacterial small subunit ribosomal RNA
Source: RNAcentral